AGACACGGUCCAAACUCCUACGGGAGGCAGCAGUGGGGAAUAUUGCACAAUGGGCGAAAGCCUGAUGCAGCAACGCCGCGUGAGUGAUGAAGGCCUUCGGGUCGUAAAACUCUGUCCUCAAGGAAGAUAAUGACGGUACUUGAGGAGGAAGCCCCGGCUAACUACGUGCCAGCAGCCGCGGUAAUACGUAGGGGGCUAGCGUUAUCCGGAUUUACUGGGCGUAAAGGGUGCGUAGGCGGUCUUUCAAGUCAGGAGUGAAAGGCUACGGCUCAACCGUAGUAAGCUCUUGAAACUGGGAGACUUGAGUGCAGGAGAGGAGAGUGGAAUUCCUAGUGUAGCGGUGAAAUGCGUAGAUAUUAGGAGGAACACCAGUUGCGAAGGCGGCUCUCUGGACUGUAACUGACGCUGAGGCACGAAAGCGUGGGGAGCAAACAGGGUUAGAUACCCUGGUAGUCCACGCUGUAAACGAUGAGU
RNAcentral lists this ribosomal RNA (474 nucleotides) under uncultured bacterium. RNAcentral describes it as "bacterial SSU rRNA". It matches the Rfam family "Bacterial small subunit ribosomal RNA", at positions 322 to 814 of the family's 1533-position model. The record is from RNAcentral.